RNAcentral lists this small RNA (93 nucleotides) under Mytilus galloprovincialis (Mediterranean mussel). Lineage: Eukaryota; Metazoa; Mollusca; Bivalvia; Mytilida; Mytilidae. The record is from RNAcentral.
UGAAUUUUCCUCGCAGUUCAGUAUUUUUUGUGAUUUUACUUUUUAGAUAAUAAAAUGUAAAAUCACAAAAAUACUGAACUUAGAGGAAAAUCC